RNAcentral lists this ribosomal RNA (292 nucleotides) under uncultured Alphaproteobacteria bacterium. RNAcentral's name for it is "partial 16S ribosomal RNA". Lineage: Bacteria; Pseudomonadati; Pseudomonadota; Alphaproteobacteria. The record is from RNAcentral.
GGACUACCAGGGUUUCUAAUCCUGUUUGCUCCCCACGCUUUCGCGCCUCAGCGUCAGUAACGGGCCAGUGAGUCGCCUUCGCCACUGGUGUUCUUCCGAAUAUCUACGAAUUUCACCUCUACACUCGGAGUUCCACUCACCUCUCCCGUACUCAAGAUGUCCAGUAUCAAAGGCAAUUCCAAGGUUGAGCCCUGGGCUUUCACCUCUGACUAAGACAUCCGCCUACGCGCCCUUUACGCCCAGUAAUUCCGAGCAACGCUAGCCCCCUUCGUAUUACCGCGGCUGCUGGCAC